RNAcentral lists this ribosomal RNA (503 nucleotides) under uncultured bacterium. RNAcentral describes it as "partial 16S ribosomal RNA". It matches the Rfam family "Bacterial small subunit ribosomal RNA", at positions 30 to 523 of the family's 1533-position model. The record is from RNAcentral.
AUUGAACGCUGGCGGCAGGCUUAACACAUGCAAGUCGAGCGGGGUGAUGGUGCUUGCACUAUCACUUAGCGGCGGACGGGUGAGUAAUACUUAGGAAUCUGCCUAUUAGUGGGGGACAACAUCUCGAAAGGGAUGCUAAUACCGCAUACGUCCUACGGGAGAAAGCUGGGGAUCACUUGUGACCUUGCGCUAAUAGAUGAGCCUAAGUCGGAUUAGCUAGUUGGUGGGGUAAAGUCCUACCAAGGCGACGAUCUGUAGCGGGUCUGAGAGGAUGAUCCGCCACACUGGGACUGAGACACGGCCCAGACUCCUACGGGAGGCAGCAGUGGGGAAUAUUGGACAAUGGGGGGAACCCUGAUCUAGCCAUGCCGCGUGUGUGAAGAAGGCCUUAUGGUUGUAAAGCACUUUAAGCGAGGAGGAGGCUCUUUUGGUUAAUACCCAAGAUGAGUGGACGUUACUCGCAGAAUAAGCACCGGCUAACUCUGUGCCAGCAGCCGCGGUAA